Molecule: long non-coding RNA, 518 nt
Organism: Gadus macrocephalus (Pacific cod)
Lineage: Eukaryota; Metazoa; Chordata; Actinopteri; Gadiformes; Gadidae
Exons: 2
Source: RefSeq, a predicted model, not a curated record
UUUCACACCAAAAAGAACCAAGAGCCAGUUCCGGGCUGGUGCUAGGGCCAGUUCCAAACAGGUUCCAGCCUUAUCCUAGUUAAGAACCAGUUGGUUUCACACCGGCCAGAGCCAGCCAUGGAGCCGGCGUGAGCAACGUCAUGACGUCACUGCAAACGUCUCCGCUUUCCCAGACGUCACUGGCAGAGAGUAGUGAGCUUGGACAGAAGCAUACUGCCGACAUCUUUCUUUAUUCUUGGUGGAAAUAGUAACAUAGUUACGCCAUUAAAUGCGUUUAUGGAAACAUUUUUAGCGAGAAAUGUGCAUUUUACUUUCAUAAUGUUCGCUCGGUGAAUGUGAAGGAUGUUUGGUUUGAUAGUUAUGACGAAGAGGGAACGCUCCGUUCACUUGCAUGGACAUGGACUCAUCUAGCUGCGUUGGCGCGUUGACGCGUUGAACCACCACACAAUGAUCAAGCGUCAGAACCCUCGCGCCAGUUUCAAACACAACAACAACAAUUUCGUCUUCGAUUCAAUCCG